GUAGGUGGCAAGCGUUGUCCGGAAUUAUUGGGCGUAAAGCGCGCGCAGGCGGUUCUUUAAGUCUGAUGUGAAAGCCCACGGCUCAACCGUGGAGGGUCAUUGGAGACUGGAGAACUUGAGUACAGAAGAGGAAAGCGGAAUUCCACGUGUAGCGGUGAAAUGCGUAGAGAUGUGGAGGAACACCAGUGGCGAAGGCGGCUUUCUGGUCUGUAACUGACGCUGAGGCGCGAAAGCGUGGGGGAGCAAACAGGAUUAGAUACCCUGGUAGUCCACGCCGUAAACGAUGAGUGCUAAGUGUUAGGGGGUUUCCGCCCCUUAGUGCUGCAGCUAACGCAUUAAGCACUCCGCCCUGGGAGUACGGCCGCAAGGCUG
RNAcentral lists this ribosomal RNA (372 nucleotides) under uncultured organism. RNAcentral describes it as "partial 16S ribosomal RNA". It matches the Rfam family "Bacterial small subunit ribosomal RNA", at positions 527 to 896 of the family's 1533-position model. The record is from RNAcentral.